GUUAAGGUGGCAGAGCCUGGUAAUUGCAAAAGACCUAAACUCUUUAACUCAAGGGUUCAAUUCCCUUCCUUAAUU
Molecule: transfer RNA, 75 nt
Filed under: Rhynchobatus djiddensis (giant guitarfish)
Lineage: Eukaryota; Metazoa; Chordata; Chondrichthyes; Rhinopristiformes; Rhynchobatidae
Description: tRNA-Leu
Rfam family: tRNA
About the family: Transfer RNA (tRNA) molecules are approximately 80 nucleotides in length. Their secondary structure includes four short double-helical elements and three loops (D, anti-codon, and T loops).
Source: RNAcentral